Molecule: unclassified non-coding RNA, 399 nt
Filed under: soil metagenome
Description: partial contains 5.8S ribosomal RNA, internal transcribed spacer 2, and large subunit ribosomal RNA
Rfam family: 5.8S ribosomal RNA (bases 1-122)
Source: RNAcentral
GAUGAAGAACGCAGCGAAAUGCGAUACUUGGUGUGAAUUGCAGAAUCCCGUGAACCAUCGAGUCUUUGAACGCAAGUUGCGCCUCAAGCCAUUAGGUUGAGGGCACGUCUGCCUGGGCGUCACAUAUCGUUGCCUGAUGCCAGUUUCCUCGUGAUGGGUGACUGUGCAGGGCGAAUGAUGGCUUCCCGUGAGCAUUGUUGCCUCAUGGUUGGUUGAAAAUUGAGUCCUUGGUAGGGAGCGCCGUGAUAGAUGGUGGUUGAGUGACGAACGAGACCCAAUCAUGUGAGACCCCUACCGAAUUUGGCCUUCAUGACCCACAUGCGUCUUUGGAACGCUCAUGACGAGACCUCAGGUCAGGCGGGGCUACCGCUGAGUUUAAGCAUAUCAAUAAGCGGAGGA